UAAUUAUGUUUUGUUAAUUGUUAAUUAUUUUUAAUACCCAACAAAGAUCAUUUCUCUUAUAUGGAUAUAUGCAAUGACAGAAGAUUUAAAAGUAUUUACUUAAAUGAUACUUUCAUUUUUGUUUUAUUUUUAGUUUUUCAUAUGAAUACUCUUGAAAUCUUGUUGAGUUUAUAUCAAUUCUAUAUAUUUAAUCAUGAGCCUAUAACAAUGUUGUUGGAGUAUUAUAUCAGAAGAAUACAUAAAACCGGAAAUAGUUUAUUUAUAAUCAAGUUAGACAAUUUUCAAUUCAUUCAAGACACGAUCAUUUUUCUAAUAUUAUGAAUUCAAACCAAAGUGAUUCACACUUUUCUUUCACAAUUUAUGCCGGAUCUAGUACCCAUAAAACAUAAAGUUAAAUC
RNAcentral lists this small RNA (398 nucleotides) under Arabidopsis thaliana (thale cress). RNAcentral describes it as "ATSL111140". Lineage: Eukaryota; Viridiplantae; Streptophyta; Magnoliopsida; Brassicales; Brassicaceae. The record is from RNAcentral.